RNAcentral lists this ribosomal RNA (497 nucleotides) under uncultured bacterium. RNAcentral describes it as "partial 16S ribosomal RNA". It matches the Rfam family "Bacterial small subunit ribosomal RNA", at positions 28 to 507 of the family's 1533-position model. The record is from RNAcentral.
GAUGAACGCUGGCGGCGUGCCUAAUACAUGCAAGUCGAGCGAACAGACGAGGCUCUUGCUUCUCUGACGUUAGCGGCGGACGGGUGAGUAACACGUGGAUAACCUACCUAUAAGACUGGGAUCACUUCGGGAAACCGGAGCUAAUACCGGAUAAUAUAUUGAACCGCAUGGUUCAAUAGUGAAAGACGGAUUUGCUGUCACUUAUAGAUGGAUCCGCGCCGCAUUAGCUAGUUGGUAAGGUAACGGCUUACCAAGGCUACGAUGCGUAGCCGACCUGAGAGGAUGAUCGGCCACACUGGAACUGAGACACGGUCCAGACUCCUACGGGAGGCAGCAGUAGGGAAUCUUCCGCAAUGGGCGAAAGCCUGACGGAGCAACGCCGCGUGAGUGAUGAAGGUCUUCGGAUCGUAAAGCUCUGUUAUUAGGGAAGAACAGAUGUGUAAGUAACUAUGCACGUCUUGACGGUACCUAAUCAGAAAGCCACGGCUAACUACGUG